UUCUGUAAGCCUGUGAAGGUGAGUUGAGAAGCUUGCUGGAGGUAUCAGAAGUGCGAAUGCUGACAUGAGUAACGACAAUGGGUGUGAAAAACACCCACGCCGAAAGACCAAGGGUUCCUGCGCAACGUUAAUCGACGCAGGGUUAGUCGGUUCCUAAGGCGAGGCUGAAAAGCGUAGUCGAUGGGAAACAGGUUAAUAUUCCUGUACUUCUGGUUACUGCGAUGGAGGGACGGAGAAGGCUAGGCCAGCUUGGCGUUGGUUGUCCAAGUUUAAGGUGGUAGGCUGAAAUCUUAGGUAAAUCCGGGGUUUCAAGGCCGAGAGCUGAUGACGAGUCGUCUUUUAGAUGGCGAAGUGGUUGAUGCCAUGCUUCCAAGAAAAGCUUCUAAGCUUCAGGUAACCAGGAACCGUACCCCAAACCGACACAGGUGGUCGGGUAGAGAAUACCAAGGCGCUUGAGAGAACUCGGGUGAAGGAACUAGGCAAAAUGGCACCGUAACUUCGGGAGAAGGUGCGCCGGCUAGGGUGAAGGAUUUACUCCGUAAGCUCUGGCUGGUCGAAGAUACCAGGCCGCUGCGACUGUUUAUUAAAAACACAGCACUCUGCAAACACGAAAGUGGACGUAUAGGGUGUGACGCCUGCCCGGUGCCGGAAGGUUAAUUGAUGGGGUUAGCGCAAGCGAAGCUCUUGAUCGAAGCCCCGGUAAACGGCGGCCGUAACUAUAACGGUCCUAAGGUAGCGAAAUUCCUUGUCGGGUAAGUUCCGACCUGCACGAAUGGCGUAACGAUGGCGGCGCUGUCUCCACCCGAGACUCAGUGAAAUUGAAAUCGCUGUGAAGAUGCAGUGUAUCCGCGGCUAGACGGAAAGACCCCGUGAACCUUUACUGUAGCUUUGCACUGGACUUUGAGCCUGCUUGUGUAGGAUAGGUGGGAGGCUUUGAAGCGUGGACGCCAGUUCGCGUGGAGCCAUCCUUGAAAUACCACCCUGGCAUGCUUGAGGUUCUAACUCUGGUCCGUGAUCCGGAUCGAGGACAGUGUAUGGUGGGCAGUUUGACUGGGGCGGUCUCCUCCUAAAGAGUAACGGAGGAGUACGAAGGUGCGCUCAGACCGGUCGGAAAUCGGUCGCAGAGUAUAAAGGCAAAAGCGCGCUUGACUGCGAGACAGACACGUCGAGCAGGUACGAAAGUAGGUCUUAGUGAUCCGGUGGUUCUGUAUGGAAGGGCCAUCGCUCAACGGAUAAAAGGUACUCCGGGGAUAACAGGCUGAUACCGCCCAAGAGUUCAUAUCGACGGCGGUGUUUGGCACCUCGAUGUCGGCUCAUCACAUCCUGGGGCUGAAGCCGGUCCCAAGGGUAUGGCUGUUCGCCAUUUAAAGUGGUACGCGAGCUGGGUUUAGAACGUCGUGAGACAGUUCGGUCCCUAUCUGCCGUGGACGUUUGAGAUUUGAGAGGGGCUGCUCCUAGUACGAGAGGACCGGAGUGGACGAACCUCUGGUGUUCCGGUUGUCACGCCAGUGGCAUUGCCGGGUAGCUAUGUUCGGAAAAGAUAACCGCUGAAAGCAUCUAAGCGGGAAACUUGCCUCAAGAUGAGAUCUCACUGGGAACUUGAUUCCCCUGAAGGGCCGUCGAAGACUACGACGUUGAUAGGCUGGGUGUGUAAGCGUUGUGAGGCGUUGAGCUAACCAGUACUAAUUGCCCGUGAGGCUUGACCA
RNAcentral lists this ribosomal RNA (1706 nucleotides) under Pseudomonas aeruginosa. RNAcentral describes it as "partial 23S ribosomal RNA". It matches the Rfam family "Bacterial large subunit ribosomal RNA", at positions 1239 to 2925 of the family's 2925-position model. The record is from RNAcentral. Lineage: Bacteria; Pseudomonadati; Pseudomonadota; Gammaproteobacteria; Pseudomonadales; Pseudomonadaceae.